AUUGAACGCUGGCGGCAGGCCUAACACAUGCAAGUCGAGCGAGCGGCGGACGGGUGAGUAAUGUAUGGGAAACUGCCCGAUGGAGGGGGAUAACUACUGGAAACGGUGGCUAAUACCGCAUACCAUCAGAUGUGCCCAGAUGGGAUUAGCUAGUAGGUGGGGUAAUGGCUCACCUAGGCGACGAUCCCUAGCUGGUAUGAGAGGAUGACCAGCCACACGGGAAAUGAGAAACGGGCCAGACUCCUACGGGAGGCAGCAGUGGGGAAUAUGGCACAAGGGGCGCAAGCCGGAUGCAGCCAUGCCGCGUGUAUGAAGAAGGCCUUAGGGUUGUAAAGUACUUUCAGCGGGGAGGCGGUACCCGCAGAAGAAGCACCGGCUAACUCCGUGCCAGCAGCCGCGGUAAUUC
Molecule: ribosomal RNA, 406 nt
Filed under: uncultured bacterium
Lineage: Bacteria
Description: partial 16S ribosomal RNA
Rfam family: Bacterial small subunit ribosomal RNA
Source: RNAcentral